This 843-nucleotide long non-coding RNA is filed under the name Ananas comosus (pineapple). RNAcentral describes it as "long non-coding RNA (ACOM_LNC040668)". Lineage: Eukaryota; Viridiplantae; Streptophyta; Magnoliopsida; Poales; Bromeliaceae. The record is from RNAcentral.
UAUUUGAUUUGAGUCAGCGAACAAUAUAUUAAUUUUAAAAUGUCAGCUAAUUAUUUAUUUUUAUAAAUUUAUAAUUGUGAGACUUAUAUGGAUUAUACUAACUAAACCUACACAGAUAAACGACGCAUUAAAAUUUUGAAGUCAAAAUACUAUUAAUUGACUCAAAUUAUACAAAAUGAAAGGUUGAAUAGUAAAAUUAAAAUUUUAAAAGAUUGAAUAGUUAAUUCAAAAUAGGCUUCAGUUUAGGUAUGUUUUGUAUGUUUUUACCUGAUUUAUGAGUUAAUAUUGUAGACAUGGUAUAUGCACGGCGACAAAGUUUAAUAUUUUAAUGAGAAACUAUUGACACGACUAACACGAUCAUCAAAUAUGAACACAAAUUACUUUUUAUUGGUUAUUUAUUAAUGGCUAAAAUAGGUUUAACUUUCUGUCCCGUGACCGACCGUCGCUAGAGCAAGUGGCAAAGGGCUUGGCGGUUGGUACCCGAGACCCAAGUUCGAAUCUUAGUUGAUUCAUAUUUCCAGCUAAGUUAAUUUCUAAAUGAAAUAAAUGAAGCGGGUAGCGUGCUAUCUAUCUCUCAAAAAAAAAAAAACUUUUUGUCCGGUGGUAAUAGGCCCAGAAGACUAAUAAUAAGUUGAGUUGGGUGAAUCUAAUAAGUUGUUGAGUGUAAUUACGGUCCACAAAAAAAAUAACGGCGAGAGGUUCAACAACAGACCUAACGUCUAGAUGGCCGGUUGAGUCGGAUCGAAGCCUGUAAGUGCUGUGGACCUACGGUUGAGCCCUUAAGUGCGAUUUGUACGUUUCCUCAUAUCAGCACGUAUUUUUAGAGUUGUUGAUUAGAAUUUA